This 497-nucleotide ribosomal RNA is filed under the name uncultured bacterium. RNAcentral describes it as "partial 16S ribosomal RNA". It matches the Rfam family "Bacterial small subunit ribosomal RNA", at positions 28 to 507 of the family's 1533-position model. The record is from RNAcentral.
GACGAACGCUGGCGGCGUGCCUAAUACAUGCAAGUUGAGCGCUGAAGGUUGGUACUUGUACCAACUGGAUGAGCAGCGAACGGGUGAGUAACGCGUGGGGAAUCUGCCUUUGAGCGGGGGACAACAUUUGGAAACGAAUGCUAAUACCGCAUAAAAACUUUAAACACAAGUUUUAAGUUUGAAAGAUGCAAUUGCAUCACUCAAAGAUGAUCCCGCGUUGUAUUAGCUAGUUGGUGAGGUAAAGGCUCACCAAGGCGAUGAUACAUAGCCGACCUGAGAGGGUGAUCGGCCACAUUGGGACUGAGACACGGCCCAAACUCCUACGGGAGGCAGCAGUAGGGAAUCUUCGGCAAUGGACGGAAGUCUGACCGAGCAACGCCGCGUGAGUGAAGAAGGUUUUCGGAUCGUAAAACUCUGUUGGUAGAGAAGAACGUUGGUGGGAGUGGAAAGCUCAUCAAGUGACGGUAACUACCCAGAAAGGGACGGCUAACUACGUG